This is a long non-coding RNA of Acanthopagrus latus (yellowfin seabream), 625 nucleotides long. RefSeq lists it as uncharacterized. The transcript has 3 exons. NCBI's taxonomy places the organism in Eukaryota, Metazoa, Chordata, Actinopteri, Spariformes, Sparidae. The record is from RefSeq and is a predicted model, not a curated record.
UGUGUGACGUGUGUGUGUGCGCUCCAUUCUGCAGCAGCAGUUCCAAACAACUGACACUGGCAGAGGCACAACAGUUGUACAGAGGAGUGACACCAUCAAUGGUAGCAGCAUUCACCUAGGCCCACAAAAAUACAGGUGGCUCGCGCGACGUGUCUUCCGACUUGGACUUCUUCAGGCUAUGGCCAUCCUACAGGUGGCAACGUUUCGACUGGGAUGUGUCUUCAUCAGGCCCGGGGAUACAUGAUGCAUUAAUUUGCCUUAAAUGAGGAGAUGUUUCCCCUUUGAAUGCUUUAGCCAAACUGAUCUCUUUUCUAUCUUCCUUUCUUUUAUACUCUCCCUUUCCCAUGCCUUUCUAAGUUAUUCUUUAACUUCUAUCUUUGACUUUUUUUAUCUAAGUUUUAUAUAGUAGGCUAUCUAACUUAUUUUAAUGUUGUUUUUAGCUUUUUCUAUAACUUAAUUUAGUUUUAAAUAGUUUUGAAUAAUUUACCUAUAAUUGGCUUUAAUUAACCUUUCUUCCCCUUCUUUCAUUUCAUAAAUUUGCAUAUUUAUAUUAAAUUUAGUAACCUUAAUUUCCUUUAUACUUUCCCUUCUUAGUUUCCUUUCCUGUCUCCCAUCCUCCAUCCUU